UGCAUUCACUACUGUAAGUCGCUCUGGAUAAAAGCAUCUGCUAAAUGACUCAAA
Salmo salar (Atlantic salmon) is the source of this 54-nucleotide non-coding RNA. Lineage: Eukaryota; Metazoa; Chordata; Actinopteri; Salmoniformes; Salmonidae. The record is from Rfam.